CCCACAUCAUGGACAAAAGAGGAGGUUUCCUUAGCAACAUGAAUCCUAUGAAAUCUGUAAGGAGAGCUCUUUCCUUAAAUUCACUCCUUCAGUGGUUUGCACCAUACACUGGCUCUCCAUGGACUACUGGAGAACAAGGGUCUGAUUCGUCAUGCACCUGGUGUGGUAAUGGCUACCUUUCAAAAAAUGCAACCCUGUUGGUCUCUUGUUUCUGCGAAGCAUAAAUCAGCAGGCUGAACCAGUGGCUUAGUCCAUAGAAAAAGGAGAGACGGAUACAAACACAAAGAAUAAUUAGCUUCUUGUUGGCUGUUUAUAACUGUAAUACCGGACUUCAGACAAGACUUUGGUAUUUCACAGAUCACAUUGAUAGAGCGCAGAUUACAAUUGUCUGCAUAUUUAUCUAUGGUGGCUCCCGUUCUGUGCCAGGCACUCUCCAAGUGCUGAAGAAACAGGGUCCUUGCUGUAAAUUGCUCACAAUCUAAGAACAGACAAGGGAUGGAGGAGAAGGUGAAUGGGUUGAAUAAUAGGCGAUUUAAAUAUAAGUCAAUGCAAGCAGCAUGACACUAUUGGGGUUUUAAGAGGGACUUGAAUGUGGACUUAGGGAGUCCUUGCUGACGGACUUAGGGAGAUCGUACCAUGCAUGGAGGGGCUGCAUGGAAGACAGGGAUGGAGGUGAUUGUGUGGGGAUCUGGACAAACUAGCAGACAAGUCUGUCUUGAAAAUAUAAAAGUCGCAGAAUGAAAUCCUCAUCUGGGGAAGAGCCACUCAUGAAUCUCCUGAUGCUUUGGGGCUUCCUCCUCUUCCUACCACUCAGGUUUGAAUGGUCCAUAUUUGCCAGCAGGAGGGCUUUGGAGAUCCUCUGGUGGGUGGCUCCUAACCUUGCCCUGCUCCAGUCUAGAAUGAAGUAGGUUCAUAGGGAUGCAAGUAGCUGUUAAGAUAUUUUCUGUUGUGCAUGCUGUCCUACUGUAUUCCAAAUACUUCUUACUCUGCCUCCUCUAGUGCACCUUUGUCUCACCAAUGUGCAUCUCUCACAUAGUACUGAUACCUACUGUUCCAUGCAAACUGAAAACAGCUUCGCCCCCUCCCUGAUUCUCCCCCAACCCUUUCAAGAUAUGCAUGAGCUUCCCAUGAAAUUCCUGACUUCCCAAAAGAGAAUACUUCCCCCAUUCAUGAAAUAAACAUGCCCCUAAGCCUUCCCCUGCCUCCCA
RNAcentral lists this long non-coding RNA (1208 nucleotides) under Chrysemys picta bellii (western painted turtle). RNAcentral describes it as "lncRNA (ENSCPBG00000012169.1)". The record is from RNAcentral. Lineage: Eukaryota; Metazoa; Chordata; Testudines; Emydidae.